CUGGGUUUCCUGCGCGCCUCAAGUCUCCUUUUUAUUUCACCUCGGGGAAAAUGGAGGCGGGGGUGUGAAAGAAAGAGAGGAAGAAAGAAAGAACAAGGGGGGUGGGGUGGGGGGGGACGACAGAAGGCAGGCCACAUCCCAGCAGCCCUCCUGCCCCCCGCGUCUCCAUCGCCAGCCCCAAGCCAGAACAGAUUUGAGUGGAGCUGCCCUGGCUCUAUCAUCUGCGGCGUGCAGAGUCAUCACGGCCGCGGUGCAUAGCUGAGAGCCGGAAAGCAAACAGCUGCUGUAGCCUGAUUUGAGUUAAAAUAGUGUCAGUGUUUAGUCUGGCGCACUGCUUCAGGAGAGAUUGGCAGCUGGGUCAAACAAAGUCAUUCCAUUGGCUCCCUUCCCAGCCAGCUUCUGCUAGUAUUUAGGUACUAGUGCAGCCUAGGCCCCUUUUCUCAGGGAUAGCCUAACAUCUGACCGCACCCUCCUUGCUGUUUAAAAAAUGCCUUUUCACUCUUUAAGAUAAAUCCACUAUUAGACAAUCUGCCACUAAUAGUGCAGUAAGGCUGUUUUUCUCCCGAAAGCCGACGCAUCCCGCUCCCGCCGCAGUGCAGAAAGCAGGCUGUUACAGUGCCGGAUUCAUAAAAGGGGCCUUUAUGGCUGGUGAAAGAAUAUCUGUGUGCUUAGGCCGGAAACUUUUUGAUCCAGUGCAAAGCCAGACGACACCUAGAUUUCUUUUACAAUACAUUCUCCUCAAGCCUGUGAAUUUUUCUUUUACUGACCAGUGA
RNAcentral lists this long non-coding RNA (773 nucleotides) under Anser brachyrhynchus (Pink-footed goose). RNAcentral's name for it is "lncRNA (ENSABRG00000009153.1)". Lineage: Eukaryota; Metazoa; Chordata; Aves; Anseriformes; Anatidae. The record is from RNAcentral.